Molecule: non-coding RNA, 20 nt
Filed under: Arabidopsis thaliana (thale cress)
Lineage: Eukaryota; Viridiplantae; Streptophyta; Magnoliopsida; Brassicales; Brassicaceae
Source: RNAcentral
UUUCAAGGGUGAAUUAGCUA